Long non-coding RNA from Oryza sativa Japonica Group (Japanese rice), 1195 nucleotides. RefSeq lists it as uncharacterized. The record is from RefSeq and is a predicted model, not a curated record. Lineage: Eukaryota; Viridiplantae; Streptophyta; Magnoliopsida; Poales; Poaceae.
CAACGUCCCAGAUCAGCGCGCGUCCCACACCUCCCUCUCUGCCGCAAUCACCGCACAUCCGCGCGACCGCGCGCCUCCCGAUCCGAUCCGAUCCAGAUCGGAUCGCCUCCCCUCCACCCGGAUCCCUCGCCUCCGCGUCGCCGGUCUGCAUUCGCGCCGCCCCCGGUCAGCCCGCGUCGCCGGUCCCCAUCAUCGGCGGCGCCCGACGAGUUUAACCCUUGCGCGGCUCUGCUGGAGUGCGAGUACAAGAACGACGCCGCAGCCGAGAACACGCUGCUCUACUCGGCGGCGUCGGUGGGGGACAUGGCGUUCGUGCAGGAGUUCAUGGACAGGGACCCCUUGCUGGUGUUUGGCGAGGGCGAGUACGGCGUGACGGACAUGUUCUACGCCGCCGCGAGGGGCGGGAACGCCGAGGUGUUCGGGCUGCUGCUGGACCACGCCAUGUCGCCGACGUGCUCGACGAAUUGUCCCAACGGGGAAGGCGCAGCAGCGGUGGUGGCUGCUCCUCGGUGUUCUGGCUGGAAAUGAUGGGCAGGGCAGUCCACGCCGCCGCGAGGGGCGGCAGCGUGGAGAUGCUGAGGGAGCUCAUCGAGCGUCGCUCCGACGUGUCAGAGCAUCUCGACUUCCGUGGAUCCACCGUGCUGCAUGCUGUUGCAGGUAGAGGGCAGCUAGAGGUGACGAAGCAACCCAGCGCUUCCGACUGAGAUGGUUGUGGGACGACUGGUAGCGCCCAGCGGUUGAGUUCUUGGGCGAAGCGGCAAAAUGGCUCGCGAAGGCCAGCGGCAGCUGGAGAUUGACGAUGAAGAAGCGGUCGGUGGAAUUUCUCUUCUCCAUAGCCAUUUAGCCUCUCCUUUCAAGAUAACUCUGUACGCUUGAUGCCCCUCUAAUAAUAGCUUAGGAUUUUUUGAGGCAUCGAUAGCUGCAAUCAGUGCUCAUGUCAUCAUUCAAUGACCUGUAACAAUUUUGAAAGAACUAUGUUGGGCACCAGAUGAACCCAGGCAGAUGUUCUUUGGAUCGGUUUUUGUACACCACAAGGUUCUAUCUGCAGGAAAUUUAACAAAAAAUAAACUGGCCAACUAUAUUCGCUAUGCAAUGGAGUUUAUGGUGAAAGCUCAGUUGCUUUUUGUUCCAUAUAAUAUCCUUGAAUUGUAGUCUGAAACCAACUUCUUAAUAUAAUGGGCAGAGCUCCAACCUU